Molecule: ribosomal RNA, 776 nt
Filed under: uncultured Neocallimastigales
Lineage: Eukaryota; Fungi; Neocallimastigomycota; Neocallimastigomycetes; Neocallimastigales
Description: partial large subunit ribosomal RNA
Rfam family: Eukaryotic large subunit ribosomal RNA
Source: RNAcentral
UACUAGAGUAGCACUCGCAUAUCAAUAAGCGGAGGAAAAGAAACUAACAAGGAUUCCCCUAGUAACGGCGAGUGAAGCGGGAAGAGCUCAAAUUUGAAAUCUUAAAGGGUUUCCCUUUACGAAUUGUAGUUUAAAGAAGUGUUUUCUGUUGGGGUUUUGGUAAAAGUUCUUUGGAAUAGGACAUCAUAGAGGGUGAGAAUCCCGUAUUUGACCUUUACUUUCAACUUUGUGAUACACUUUCAAAGAGUCGGAUUGUUUGGGAAUGCAGUCCAAAAUGGGUGGUAAAUUUCAUCUAAAGCUAAAUAUUGGCGAGAGACCGAUAGCGAACAAGUACCGUGAGGGAAAGAUGAAAAGAACUUUGAAAAGAGAGUUAAACAGUACGUGAAAUUGUCAAAAGGGAAGCGUUUGACACCAGUGUUGUUUUUCUGAAAAUCAAUUAAAGAACUGUUUAUGCUAAGCUGUUUAGACUUUAUCAGCUAACUGUUUAGUUUUGAGCUUUUCUUUAAUGCACUUUUCAGUUAACAAGUCAACAUCAAUUUCUUUUGCUGUAAAAAAGCUUGAGGAAGGUGGCUUGAGAUUCGUCUUAAGUGUUUAUAGCCUCUUGCCUAUGCAGUCGAAGAGAUUGAGGUCUGCAGCGUAGAUCCUUCGGGGCUAAAUGCAUUUGUGCUAAGUUAUAGCAUUUUAUAGACAACUUGUUGACUAUGAUUUGUCUUGUAGCUUACUCGCUUAUGUUAUUUUACCUACGCUUAGGAUGUUGAAGUCUAUCACACAUCUCU